UUCUGGCACAGCUCCGAGAGAUACCUGGCUUCGGUACGGGAACAACGCGGAAGUAACACACGCUAUGGUCACGUGCCAGCCAGUACGAGGUCACAAUGUGGUUCGGUGAACGUCUUCUUCAUUUCUUUGUUUAAGCUCAGUUCCAUACAAUGUCUGAAACAACGCAUAGUAGUUGGUGGUCUAUACUGCAGGAAUUGGAGUCUUGAAAUAACUUAUAUAUGACAGAUCUUACGUCCCCUAUGCUGGAUUAAUCUUUGGUACACGUAAUUAAAAAGAAUGACUCUCAGUGUGGAUCCAGAAAUUCACGUACGUAAAUACUUGCACAUGAACGAUUUGAUGAUUUUCAUCGUCGCUCUGGUAACGGUCUCGCUGCUGGGCGGGUUUCUUAACCGAGUUGGUUAUGGCGAAGACAGGAAUUCAACGAACAGUACCGAAGCGGAUUACAAUUGGAGCUACAGAGCCAGAAUUGGAGUAGCCUAUAGUUAUUUUUCCUACAGGUAUUACUUCCAUCCAUAAACAAAGGAAGUUUCCUCCUAUAAGCAUUAGCCUGGUGAUUAACAUUCCGAACCGAAGACCCGAUGACCCACAAGCGAAGAUGUCGUUUAUAAUUUCAAAUAACUUAUUAUCGAUGACGAGAAACCAACUUUGAGACUAAUAAUGGUUGGAGACGGCUUGAAU
This is a long non-coding RNA of Limulus polyphemus (Atlantic horseshoe crab), 678 nucleotides long. RefSeq lists it as uncharacterized. NCBI's taxonomy places the organism in Eukaryota, Metazoa, Arthropoda, Merostomata, Xiphosura, Limulidae. The record is from RefSeq and is a predicted model, not a curated record. The transcript has 3 exons.